GCAUGACUGUAACAAUAGGAUGAAUAUACAAAAAUAUCUUUUUCUGGGGUCUCAUUGGGGGGUUCUGAUCCCGGAUCCCGCUUACUGUUUUGGCAGAUUCCCGUAUUCCGCUUAUUGUUUUGUCAGAUUCCCGUAUCCCGCUUAUACUAUGCAGUUCUAAUUUUUUUGUAAUUAUCCGUGUCCCGCUAGACUUCAUUUCCCGUUUUUCUCUACACAAUCAUUUGACUUUCACCUGUCACGCUUGCAAAAAAUCGGCAAUCCGGCGUGACGCUUAUACCCAAAUGCGACCCACUAUUUUACUCUAUUUUGAC
This 311-nucleotide long non-coding RNA is filed under the name Mytilus galloprovincialis (Mediterranean mussel). Lineage: Eukaryota; Metazoa; Mollusca; Bivalvia; Mytilida; Mytilidae. The record is from RNAcentral.